UCGAGAAUUUUUCACAAUGGGCGCAAGCCUGAUGGAGCGACGCCGCGUGGGGGAUGAAGGGUUUCGAUCCGUAAACCCCUGUCAUUUGCGAACAAUGGCUAUUCAAUAACACUGGAUGGCUUGAUAGUAGUGAAAGAGGAAGGGACGGCUAACUCUGUGCCAGCAGCCGCGGUAAUACAGAGGUCCCAAGCGUUGUUCGGAUUCACUGGGCGUAAAGGGUGCGUAGGUGGCCGGGUAAGUUCGAUGUGAAAGCUCGGAGCUCAACUCCGAAAAGGCAUUGAAUACUAUCCGGCUGGAGGGUCGGAGGGGAGACUGGAAUUCUCGGUGUAGCAGUGAAAUGCGUAGAUAUCGAGAGGAACACCAGUGGCGAAGGCGAGUCUCUGGACGACUCCUGACACUGAGGCACGAAAGCCAGGGGAGCAAACAG
RNAcentral lists this ribosomal RNA (427 nucleotides) under uncultured bacterium. Its description in RNAcentral is "bacterial SSU rRNA". It matches the Rfam family "Bacterial small subunit ribosomal RNA", at positions 355 to 775 of the family's 1533-position model. The record is from RNAcentral.